GUGUCCUGUAAGAACCAAUGUAUAUUCUGGAUAGGUAUUGAAAACCCGAUCUAGCAUAUUUCCUUCCCGCAGCCGCUUGAGCAUACAGUCGACUCCGGCAACCAUUCCACGAUGAGCGGAAGUGUCCGGAGGCAUCCCUGGAGCAUCAAAUCGUUCAGCAUUAGCGACUAAAUCUGUGAACACGUCCCGCAUCGAUAGACUUCCUCUGAUUGAUAUAACGAUGCUCUUGGUACUGUGAUCCGCCAACACACAAAAUGGUAGCUAACCGAAUCGGAGAAGAACAUUGUAUUAGUAUAAGAAUGCAACCUAUUAGGAAAUGGAAUUUUUCAAUUAUAUUUUACGAGAUUUUGGCUGCUAUAUAAGUAACAACCUUUGUUUACCUUCACACAGAUCGUAUACUAUGGAGUGGAUUUCUAUUUUUCUAUUCGGACUACAGGCAGUCUAUUGCUUCGGGAAUGAACAUGCAGUAGCCUCGAUCAACUACAAGCAACAUUCGACAAUCUUUCAACUAGAUGGUAACAAAGGUCCUGUAUUGCGGCAAACAUCCUGUAUCUGUGACGGGGUGAUUUUUAUAGAAAAGAAUCCAGCUCCGAAUUCCAGAUAUUCUUUACCUCUUGACUGUCAUUGUCAAGACUGCGAAGCAUUUGAAUUGAAUGACCACAACGAACCUACAUUCGUUUGCCCAAACAACCAACGAAACAGUAAGGCUCAAGAGCCAUCAAAUUUGAACUAUGAUCAAAGUCAUAGAUAUUCAGAAAUGUCAGAUUUUGGUAAAGAUCAAAGGAGUACCGAUUCAUUUCAACACAUAUUUCGCAAGAAACGAUCUGCUUUCAACUGGGAAAGCUUUCUAGAAAAAAUUUCUAUCAUGGGAAGCCAUGACAGUACGUACAACAAAAAAACUGGAGCCUACUUCCACUACAACUAUGGAAAUAACAUGGGGUCUGGUAGUAAUACUUAUACAACCUCUACCACUGCAGAAGCCUGAACUAUUUUGCGUUAAAUUUGGUACAGUUUGCCGUGGGAAAGCAUUGCAACUUAAAAUGCGUUUUAAUAGAUAUAAUUCAAAAAUCAAAAUUUGUAUGUGUUCCUGGAUAAUUUCAACAAAUAAUAAUAAAUUGAAACCAUAAUUAGCAAUGAUUACAUUUAAAGAAAAAUCUAUUCAUUCACAUUGAACUUCAGACUAAGAAAACAAAACCUACUAAUUUGCCGAAAAGAAUUAUUUAUUUAAAACAUGUAAAAACACGAAAACGCGACAAGAACUGUCAAGAGUAAUUUUCCAAAAACCGGCCCCUAAUAAAUCACUUGCCGGUACUAACUAACUACAAAAGCGGACGCUCAAAUUUUAUUUCAAAACAAAACAUAUCAACGACAAAGCAGCAUUUUGGAAUUCAUUCAACGAAAUGAUAAGAAAACUGCUCAAACGGUGAAAUCAGUUUUAAUUUGCAAACAAGUUAUACAACCUUCUUAUCAAUAGUGGAGAACAAGAACUAUUAGACCUGGGUGAUAGUCACUUUUUACUAUAAAAAGCACCAACUAACUCGAACAAUCAUUCAGAACUUUUUGAAGAACGCUGCAGUGCUACAAUCCUCAACGAAAUGAAUAAAGUUACAAAUAUUGUCAUGUUUCUAUUUUUGUUCGCUGCAAUCGUUGUAAGUGGUCGUUCACUAGAAGAUAAUUUUGGAAAACUACAAGUUAUCCCUCCAGCAGCAGAUAUUAUGGAAGAGAACUCAAACGCACCGGAUAAUAUGAACGAACAAACCUGGAACGACUACAUGAAAGUGCGGAAUUCAAAAUUUCUCGGGGUAGAUAAUGGAUCGGAUAAGCAGUAAAAUUUACGUUUUCCCUAUACUUUUGUGUGAUGAAUAAUAAAAUAUGUUAUAAGAAAAAAGUGUACCUCAAACACGUGAUUUUUAAACGAUGCAUGCAAGACGUCUUCGCUUCGUACUCGUGACGUAUAUCGAACACCGGACACGUGGCAUAGGCAACAGUUGUCAUCAAUGAUGAUUUGAGGUUUUCGUCUGCAAAUAUCGGUUAUUAUGGAAUUAUUGUUCCUACCAGCAUAAUGUGUCAACUUACCGGAAACAUGCGCAACACGUCAUUUUCGGAACUAACCGAUACGGUCCAGUACAGCAGUGCAUAUAGCAAACCAUAGGCCAGCCAUAGGCAGCCAAUGCAAACCGCAAAAAGUGACGAGCAUUUUUUAUAGUCAUCCACGAUGGAGAAGUGGCAAA
Molecule: long non-coding RNA, 2231 nt
Organism: Wyeomyia smithii (pitcher-plant mosquito)
Lineage: Eukaryota; Metazoa; Arthropoda; Insecta; Diptera; Culicidae
Exons: 3
Source: RefSeq, a predicted model, not a curated record